RNAcentral lists this long non-coding RNA (521 nucleotides) under Olea europaea subsp. europaea. The record is from RNAcentral. Lineage: Eukaryota; Viridiplantae; Streptophyta; Magnoliopsida; Lamiales; Oleaceae.
AUCCCAAUUUGAUGCACUCACUAGACAAUUAGCGCAACUUGCCACUAGCCUAUCGACUGUCCAAUCAGAUAUAACUGCUACUCGUGAGGAGAGAAAGAACCUAGUUGCUAAGUUAAGCAAUUUUAAGCGAACCUCUCGUUUAACUGACACUAAUUCUGAAGCGUCUCAUAGUAGACAAUAUCAUCGUGGACAAAGUGAUCAAAAAUAUUUUCGACGCGAUCGUAGGAAUAAGGAUCAGAUUCGUAAGCGAGAACGAGAUAAUUUUGAAAUUCUUACUCAAUGGAAUGCCCUUAAACAAGAAAAUCAAUUAGUGAGUGAGUAUAUCGCGCAAUUUGAGGAAUUUCAAACCAAAUGUCAUUUAAUUAAGGAUGAAAGUAUGACUUUGAGUAGGUUUAGCCAAGGUCUGAGAGAUGAUCUUAAGCGCGAGCUUUUCCUUCGAGGUGUCACUACUCUUGAUCAUGCUUACUCUUUAACUCAAGAUUAUGAGUUGAUUAUUAGUACUCCAUAUGAAAAGCGUGGUC